GAUGAACGCUGGCGGCGUGCCUAAUACAUGCAAGUCGAGCGAACGGAUGAGAAGUUUGCUUCUAUGAUGUUAGCGGCGGAUGGGUGAGUAACACGUGGAUAACCUACCUAUAAGACUGGGAUAACUACGGGAAACCGGAUCUAAUAUCGGAUAAUAUUUUGAACGGCAUGGUUCAAACGUGAAAGCCGUUCUUGAUGACCCUUAAAGAUGGACCCGCGUUGCAUUCGUUAGUUGGUACGGUAACGGCUUACCAAGGCAACGAUGCAUAGCCGACCUGAGAGGGUGAUCAGCCACACUGGAACUGAGACACGGUCCAGACUCCUACGGGAGGCAGCAGUAGGGAAUCUUCCGCAAUGGGCGAAAGCCUGACGGAGCAAAGCCGCGUGAGUGAUGAAGGUCUUCUGAUCGUAAAACUCUGUUAGUAGGGAGGAACAUAUGUGUAGGUAACUGUGUACAUCUUGACGGUACCUAAACAGAAAGCCACGGCUAACUACGUG
This 497-nucleotide ribosomal RNA is filed under the name uncultured bacterium. Its description in RNAcentral is "partial 16S ribosomal RNA". It matches the Rfam family "Bacterial small subunit ribosomal RNA", at positions 28 to 507 of the family's 1533-position model. The record is from RNAcentral.